UUGAACGCUGGCGGCAUGCCUUACACAUGCAAGUCGAACGGCAGCACGGGGGCGACCCUGGUGGCGAGUGGCGAACGGGUGAGUAACGCAUCGGAACGUACCCGGAAGUGGGGGAUAACGUAGCGAAAGUUACGCUAAUACCGCAUAUUCUGUGAGCAGGAAAGAGGGGGAUCGCAAGACCUCUCGCUUCCGGAGCGGCCGAUGUCGGAUUAGCUAGUUGGCGGGGUAAAGGCCCACCAAGGCGACGAUCCGUAGCGGGUCUGAGAGGAUGAUCCGCCACACUGGGACUGAGACACGGCCCAGACUCCUACGGGAGGCAGCAGUGGGGAAUUUUGGACAAUGGGCGCAAGCCUGAUCCAGCCAUGCCGCGUGAGUGAAGAAGGCCUUCGGGUUGUAAAGCUCUUUCAGACGGAAAGAAAUCGGGCGGGUGAAUAGCCUGCCUGGAUGACGGUACUGUCAGAAGAAGCACCGGCUAACUACGU
This 482-nucleotide ribosomal RNA is filed under the name uncultured bacterium. RNAcentral's name for it is "bacterial SSU rRNA". It matches the Rfam family "Bacterial small subunit ribosomal RNA", at positions 29 to 506 of the family's 1533-position model. The record is from RNAcentral.